UACGUAGGGGGCAAGCGUUGUCCGGAUUCAUUGGGCGUAAAGAGCGUGUAGGCGGCCAGGUAGGUCGGUUGUGAAAACUGGAGGCUCAACCUCCAGACGUCGACGGAAACCGUAUGGCUAGAGUCCGGAAGAGGAGAGUGGAAUUCCUGGUGUAGCGGUGAAAUGCGCAGAUAUCGCUUGGAACGCCGAAGGUGAAAACAGGUUGCUGGGGAUGUGCCGACGCUGAGACACGAAAGCCAGGGGAGCAAACGGG
This 253-nucleotide ribosomal RNA is filed under the name uncultured bacterium. RNAcentral's name for it is "partial 16S ribosomal RNA". It matches the Rfam family "Bacterial small subunit ribosomal RNA", at positions 524 to 776 of the family's 1533-position model. The record is from RNAcentral.